GUUUAAAUCAAUUAUUCCAAACGGAGAGAUCUUGCAAUAGCGAUAGUCUCGCCUGCCCUUUUUAUUAAUUUGCAAAUCAACUCAAAGCAGCUAUUUUAAUCUGAAUAAUUAUAUAGCCAAGAAUCUUAUCUUGGCCAACAAUGAUUCCUCCAUUCCGCCACAGCCAAACAAGUGAGGACGGCCUGUUCAAAGCGAAUAUGUCGUAUUUUCAUUGUCGGAUUCGCAGAAGUCAACCGACCAAUCAGUAGAAUGCUAAGUUCGUGUCGUAAGAUGAACGACGGUAGCAGGAUCUGGAUGACAUUUUUUCCAUUGGAUUAGGAAGAUGCUUCUCAUAACACACAGGAGUCCAAUCAACAAAGCAAUCAAACCUCUAUACUAAUAUACUAAUUAGCUGAUCAGAACUGGAAUACCAGUCCAACAUCAUGCCACAUAAAUUAAUAAGAAAUAUAGCAUUUCUUCUCAAUGUAAAUGUGAAGAAAAUCAAGACAAAACUCUUUCUUUGUCCGCCACAAAUGCUGGCCAAGUGGCUCGCUCUCGCUCUCUCUCUCUCUC
Molecule: long non-coding RNA, 552 nt
Filed under: Phoenix dactylifera (date palm)
Lineage: Eukaryota; Viridiplantae; Streptophyta; Magnoliopsida; Arecales; Arecaceae
Description: long non-coding RNA (PDAC_LNC020781)
Source: RNAcentral